UUUUUUUUCCCUCUUUGUCUGAAACUAUCGAACCCUAAUAACUCUCACUUUUCUGAAAACUCUCGAACCUUGUCCACCUCGUUCUCUCUCCAACCUGACCUGCCCCGAUUCCCCGACCUCGUUCUCCAACCUGGCCUGAGCUCGUUGUCCGAUCCGAGCUGCUCGAGCUCCUUCUCCGACCCGAGCAGCUCGAGCAGCUCCUUCUCCGACCUUACCUCGAGUUCAUUCUCCAACAUGAGCUCGUCAAUCUCCGACAUGAACUCCCUACAAGAUUUGGUUCUGCAACUCUUAGGAUACUUCUUGAAGGCUUACUUGAAGGCUUGAAGGCUGGGUUCAAUCGAUACUUUGAUUUCAGUUUUUGGUUGAAGGCUGGGUUCGAUUUCGGAUUUCUAGGGAUACAGGGCAGCCUUGCUAUUAAAACUGUGGAACUUCAGGACUCGGGUUCGUUCUGCUAUAUUGGGUUACCUACUCAUAUUCAGAGUUAAUUAUUAAUUACUCUGGCGUUGGUUUUGAUCUUAUACUCUGUUCGUCAGUUUUCUUGCUCUAAAUUUGUUCCUUGUUUUGGCAUUUGAUCAUAUUAAUCUUGCAUUUUGUGGUUAUAAGUGGAUGAUUCAGUUUGUUGUUGGUUUUGAGUUUGGGUUUGUAUGCUACAUAUUCACAAUUCAAACAAACAGAUUUGAAAUUUUCAUGCUUGCAACUAAGAUGCAUGACCUAUGUUUAUGUAGGCACAAGUGGGAGGUGAGUGCACACAUACAUGUAGUGGGAAGUUAAAUUUAAUUUAACUGGAGAAGGGUAUAAAAGCAGAGGAAAGCAGUGACAUCGUUUUUUGCUGCCUUUGAUGCCUUGUGUGAAGAAGGAACUGCAACAACUAUGUGCAGAGCUCUUGAUGAAGUUGUAGAUAUAUCUAUACCAGGUUCAAAAGACCAUAUCAAGGAGCAGGGUGAAAUCUUAGAGGGUAUUGUUGCUCGUAUUGUAAGCCAUGAGAGCUCAAAGCAUAUGGUGGAAGUCUUAAAAGAUUUCCCUCCUCCUCCAAUGGAAGGAGCUGGUCAUGAUUUGGGACCAAGCCUAAGGGAGAUUUGUGCUGCAAAUAGGUCGGAUGAAACACAGCAAAUAAAAGCUCUUCUCAAGCGUGUUGGCUCCUCUUUUUGCCCUGACCAUUCAGACUGGCUUGGGGGAGCUGGUGAUACCCAAUCUAGAAAUGCAGAUAAAGCUGUGGUUUCAAAAUUUUUACAAUCUCACCCUGCUGAUUUUUCUACCACCAAAUUGCAGGAAACGAUAGUAACGCGGUCUAUCCCCAGUUGAUUUAGGAAACUUUGCUGCUGUAUAUGUACCUCUUGCAUAGCAAUGGUUAGCUACUCAAUUUCCAUGGCUGAUGACAUCUGCUAAUUAAUCUUCAUUAAUCGUCACAAGGAAUUAUAUGUUGUAUAAUCCAAGUCAAGACUCAAGUUUUUGAAAGAGAUAUAUUCCUCAAUAUAUAUAUUGUUGCUCUGUAUUUGUUGAUUGCUGGAUGAUAAUAACUGAUGCUUACCUUGACAAGCAGUUGCCUCUUUCUGAUCACAAGUACAAAACCUACUUCUUGAAGCCAACAAUGGGUGCUUGGAUUAUGCUGCCAGGAAUACACCUUGGAGAGAAUGUUUGCAAACCAGCUACUCGAAUGUG
Molecule: RNA transcript, 1659 nt
Organism: Rosa chinensis
Lineage: Eukaryota; Viridiplantae; Streptophyta; Magnoliopsida; Rosales; Rosaceae
Gene name: tRNA ligase 1
Exons: 8
Source: RefSeq, a predicted model, not a curated record